GCACACAUAAUUUAUCAGGAAAAAUGAUUGACUUCCAAUCAGUGAUGGUGGGUUCAAGUCCCGCUGUGUGCA
RNAcentral lists this transfer RNA (72 nucleotides) under Axinella corrugata. RNAcentral describes it as "tRNA-Gly". It matches the Rfam family "tRNA". From Rfam's summary of the family: Transfer RNA (tRNA) molecules are approximately 80 nucleotides in length. The record is from RNAcentral. Lineage: Eukaryota; Metazoa; Porifera; Demospongiae; Axinellida; Axinellidae.